AACGAACGCUGGGGGCGUGCCUAACACAUGCAAGUCGAGCGAGAAAGUCCGCAAGGAUGAGUAAAGCGGCGCACGGGUGCGUAACACGUGGGUAAUCUUCCUUGAAGCCCGGAAUAACUCCCCGAAAGGGGUGCUAAUACCGGAUAAGACCACGGGAUCCUCGGAUCCUGAGGGAAAAGGCGGCCUCUGUAUACAAGCUGUCACUUCGAGAUGAGCCCGCGGCCCAUCAGCUAGUUGGCGGGGUAAUGGCCCACCAAGGCUACGACGGGUAGCUGGUCUGAGAGGACGAUCAGCCACACUGGAACUGAGACACGGUCCAGACUCCUACGGGAGGCAGCAGUGGGGAAUCUUGCGCAAUGGGCGAAAGCCUGACGCAGCAACGCCGCGUGUGUGAUGAAGGUCUUCGGAUCGUAAAGCACUGUCGGGAGGGACGAAUAAGGCGGCGGCUAACAUCCGCCGCGGAUGACGGUACCUCCAAAGGAAGCACCGGCUAACUCUGUGCCAGCAGCCGCGGUAAUACAGAGGGUGCAAGCGUUGUUCGGAAUUAUUGGGCGUAAAGCGCGUGUAGGCGGCCAGGCAAGUUGGGUGUGAAAGCCCUCGGCUUAACCGAGGAAGUGCGCCCAAAACUACUUGGCUUGAGUACCGGAGAGGGUGGCGGAAUUCCCGGUGUAGAGGUGAAAUUCGUAGAUAUCGGGAGGAACACCAGUGGCGAAGGCGGCCACCUGGACGGAUACUGACGCUGAGACGCGAAAGCGUGGGGAGCAAACAGGAUUAGAUACCCUGGUAGUCCACGCUGUAAACGAUGAGCGCUAGGUGUUGUGGGUGUUGACCCCCGCAGUGCCGCAGCUAACGCAUUAAGCGCUCCGCCUGGGAAGUACGGCCGCAAGGCUA
This 891-nucleotide ribosomal RNA is filed under the name uncultured bacterium. RNAcentral describes it as "bacterial SSU rRNA". It matches the Rfam family "Bacterial small subunit ribosomal RNA", at positions 28 to 896 of the family's 1533-position model. The record is from RNAcentral.